AAUCUUUUUUCUCCUUUGAAUUGUAACAGACUGUAUCGGUUACAUUUUUCUCUAUCAUACAAGUUGUGACUAUCAAAGAUAUAAUACCACUUCCUUAUAGGGAAACAUUUAAUGAUGUGUACAGGUAAAUUCAUUUUUUCUUAUUCCUUAUAUUGUUUCCCAGUUAUAUUUGUGUUGGUUUCAGAGUACAGGUAGUGAUAGAAAUUGCUGGUCGAUUGUGGCUUAUUGAGAAAGGGAUGAGUAACCAACAAUACAAAUAUGGGAGGCCUUCCUCAGGCGGCGUGCAGGGACGCCGUGCUAAGCGGGCGGGGCUAGUGCCAUGGCGGGAAAGGUGUCGUCGAGGCGAAUUAGAUGAAAGACAAAAAGAAAAUUGUUGCUAAUUUUUUUCCUUUCUUUUAUUUAUAAUGUUAAACUUAAAUGUAUUUAUGCGUGGAUGAAUGUAAUGUGGAUAAGAUUGUUUGUCUUUGGAUGGAUGUAGUUUAUGUUUGGAUGGAUUUACGUAGUUUGGGUUUAGAUGGAUGUGAAUGUGAAUAUGAUGAAAUAUAUUAUAUAACAGGUGUAUAUCAGGUGUAUUUGAAAAUUUCUGAUGGCUCUAGGCCGUUUAUA
This is a long non-coding RNA of Magnolia sinica, 606 nucleotides long. RefSeq lists it as uncharacterized. The transcript is spliced from 2 exons. Lineage: Eukaryota; Viridiplantae; Streptophyta; Magnoliopsida; Magnoliales; Magnoliaceae. The record is from RefSeq and is a predicted model, not a curated record.